AACUUAUUUGUGUAUGUUGAUUGAGAGUGCACGCUUAGUUUUCAUGCAUGAAUAUGAUGCUAGAUUAUGAGGGAAUUUCACCUAAUAGUUACAAUCUUAUAAUCACAAGUAGUGAAGUUCGCUUGAAAACGAUCGCGUUGAAUGAAUUCUUGGCACUAGUUUCAUGCUCAUCAUAGUAACGAAUGCCUCGUCAACACUUAUAGUUCUCAUUGUACUUCAUGAUUCUUGAUUGUAUCUUUAUUGUGCUCAUCACGUAAGGAACCUUUGAGGAAUGCUUUGAAUUGUUGUAUGCGCUUUUCCAUCCAAUUCAUUAACUUAAGGAUAACUUGAAGGUUAAUUUAAGCGUAUCUAAUUAACUUGGGGUGUUAAGUUUCAUAAUUUAUUGAAAGAACAACUGAAAAUCAUUUUGUUUGCAAGUGUGUCAUGUGUGGAGAAGAACCUCCUAACUAGCCUUUUAUCCAUCCUUUUCAUCCAAAAACGUUUUACAAUCUGUUUUGUUUUAAAGUUUAUGUUUUGUUUUCAAUUUUCGUCCAAAACAAAUCCCCUUUUAUUUUGAAGUCUUAGAUUAGUUAGAAAGUGUUUUGAUUUGUGUUUCUAAGUGUUUUGAUUCAAGUUUUCAUCCAACUUCGUCCAAGUUCUUGUUAGGUUCUCAAAACUGCCCAGAAAGUGGUUUUUAGGCAGUUUUGAGUCAUUAGGUUGCUGUUUUGAGUUUUAUGUUUGUUUAAGUAUUUUAAAGUAUAGUUUUGCAUUCUUUGAGUCUAGUUUAGUGUUUUAAAUUUUGUUUUUAUGUUUUUAAGUCAGUUUUCAAGUGUUUAGCAAUCCCUCCUAAUCCCCGGCCUAGAACGAUCCCUACUUACAUACUUUACUACAUUUGAUAAAAAGAGAGUUUAAUUUUGUGUGUUAAGUUAUUUUACGCAUCACUUAACAGGUCCUUAACAGGUCGAGCGAGUAAAGUGACCCGACCCGUUAUGACCCAUUAAGAAAAAUAUUUUUUUUUCUUAAAUUUGCACAUACCACACAUUGCCACAUAAAUAUUACUUCAAAACAUUAAAACACAUUUGUCGUUUAAGUACUAUAUCUACACUCGAAAAUAAGUGCCUAAUAAAAAAAUAAUACACACACUACUAAUCUAUUACAAAUAUUAAAUGUGCAAGGAUAUGAAAAAUGAAAUUUUUUUUGUUUUCUAGGUUGUGAAGUCUUUCUCAAAAGUUUAAACCUCAAUUUACAAAAUCCUCGAUUUACAUCGAUCAUCAUGAAAUUGUUUGGAACUUUAGCUUGAUCUCAGCCGAUCCAAUGGUCAUCAAUUUUUUAAAUUUAAUUUAAUAUAUAUAUAUAAUUAUAUU
This 1343-nucleotide long non-coding RNA is filed under the name Malus domestica (apple). RNAcentral describes it as "long non-coding RNA (MDOM_LNC015239)". The record is from RNAcentral. Lineage: Eukaryota; Viridiplantae; Streptophyta; Magnoliopsida; Rosales; Rosaceae.